UACGUAGGGUGCGAGCGUUAAUCGGAAUUACUGGGCGUAAAGCGUGCGCAGGCGGUUUCUGAAGUCCGUUGUGAAAGCCCCGGGCUUAACCUGGGAAUGGCAGUGGAAACUAGGAGACUUGAAUCUGGCAGAGGGGGGUGGAAUGCCACGUGUAGCAGUGAAAUGCGUAGAGAUGUGGAGGAAUACCGAUGGCGAAGGCAGCCCCCUGGGAUAACACUGACGCUCAUGCACGAAAGCGUGGGGAGCAAACAGG
RNAcentral lists this ribosomal RNA (253 nucleotides) under uncultured bacterium. RNAcentral's name for it is "partial 16S ribosomal RNA". It matches the Rfam family "Bacterial small subunit ribosomal RNA", at positions 524 to 776 of the family's 1533-position model. The record is from RNAcentral.